Molecule: ribosomal RNA, 533 nt
Filed under: fungal sp. 54903
Lineage: Eukaryota; Fungi
Description: eukaryotic LSU rRNA
Rfam family: 5.8S ribosomal RNA (bases 183-336)
Source: RNAcentral
GGUCUCCGUUGGUGAACCAGCGGAGGGAUCAUUACCGAGUUUCAACUCCCAAACCCCUGUGAACAUACCUAUACGUUGCCUCGGCGGAUCAGCCCGCGCCCCGUAAAACGGGACGGCCCGCCCGAGGACCCCUAAACUCUGUUUUUAGUGGAACUUCUGAGUAAAACAAACAAAUAAAUCAAAACUUUCAACAACGGAUCUCUUGGUUCUGGCAUCGAUGAAGAACGCAGCAAAAUGCGAUAAGUAAUGUGAAUUGCAGAAUUCAGUGAAUCAUCGAAUCUUUGAACGCACAUUGCGCCCGCCAGUAUUCUGGCGGGCAUGCCUGUUCGAGCGUCAUUUCAACCCUCAAGCUCAGCUUGGUGUUGGGACUCGCGGUAACCCGCGUUCCCCAAAUCGAUUGGCGGUCACGUCGAGCUUCCAUAGCGUAGUAAUCAUACACCUCGUUACUGGUAAUCGUCGCGGCCACGCCGUAAAACCCCAACUUCUGAAUGUUGACCUCGGAUCAGGUAGGAAUACCCGCUGAACUUAAGCAU